RNAcentral lists this ribosomal RNA (509 nucleotides) under uncultured bacterium. RNAcentral describes it as "bacterial SSU rRNA". It matches the Rfam family "Bacterial small subunit ribosomal RNA", at positions 30 to 526 of the family's 1533-position model. The record is from RNAcentral.
AUUGAACGCUGGCGGCAGGCCUAACACAUGCAAGUCGAGCGGUAACAGGAAGAAGCUUGCUUCUUUGCUGACGAGCGGCGGACGGGUGAGUAAUGUAUGGGGAUCUGCCUGACCGAGGGGGAUAACUACUGGAAACGGUAGCUAAUACCGCAUAAUCUCUAAGGACCAACGCAGGGGACCUUCGGGCCAUGCGCUGUCGGAUGAACACAUAUGGGAUUAGCUAGUAGGUGGGGUAACGGCUCACCUAGGCGACGAUCUCAAGCUGGUCUGAGAGGAGGGUCAGCCACACUGGGACUGAGACACGGCCCAGACUCCUACGGGAGGCAGCAGUGGGGAAUAUUGCACAAUGGGCGCAAGCCUGAUGCAGCCAUGCCGCGUGUAUGAAGAAGGCCUUAGGGUUGUAAAGUACUUUCAGUCGGGAGGAAGGCGUUGAUAUUAAUACUAUCAGCGAUUGACGUUACCGACAGAAGAAGCACCGGCUAACUCCGUGCCAGCCGCCGCUGUAACAC